Long non-coding RNA from Solanum pennellii, 556 nucleotides. RefSeq lists it as uncharacterized. NCBI's taxonomy places the organism in Eukaryota, Viridiplantae, Streptophyta, Magnoliopsida, Solanales, Solanaceae. The record is from RefSeq and is a predicted model, not a curated record. The transcript has 2 exons.
AUUUCAACAUGUAUGCUUGGAGGUAAAACUUUUUGUUAGAUCAGGACAUUCUGGUCAUUUCAAUUUGUUGCCAUACUUUCAUCCUAUUACGUGGUUGUGUGGCUAGAAGAUUUAUUGUGUGUGGCAUCAAUGGGUGCUUCCAAUCAGAUAUCUCUCAUCUAUAAUCACUAUUGAAGAGGAAAACAAUGGUAUUUUGCCUUCAUAACUUUUCCUCUUCAAGCUUCUCUAAAUACUGUCGCAAUUUUGCGGUUAUAUCGUGGUUCGACUUGCAUAACUGAAAUGAAAAAAUAGACACAAUGAAACAACUCUCUGAUGGUCGGAUUGGAUUAGGUCUUAUCAAAUUUUUCAUAUCAUUCUAUAUCAUCUUUUGUCAAAAAUGUCUCAUCAAUAAAUUAUUAUACUAAAGAUGUUCUCAUCCUAAAAAUAAUGUCUAGAAAGGAGCAAAAUUUACUACGUGUUAUAAAAUUGUGUGUUGGUUUUAUGUUAAAGUACACAUCUCAAAAUAAUUUCUAGAAAGGAGCAAUAUUUAAUACACUUGAAUGUACGUGUUAUAAAA